GGUGCUACGCCGGGCUUGAACGGAUAACUCUGAUGACGUUAAUCACGGAGGUAACCCUCCUGGCACCU
This 68-nucleotide transfer RNA is filed under the name Lepidonotus sp. YZ-2018. RNAcentral describes it as "tRNA-Ile". The record is from RNAcentral. Lineage: Eukaryota; Metazoa; Annelida; Polychaeta; Phyllodocida; Polynoidae.